Molecule: ribosomal RNA, 501 nt
Filed under: uncultured bacterium
Lineage: Bacteria
Description: partial 16S ribosomal RNA
Rfam family: Bacterial small subunit ribosomal RNA
Source: RNAcentral
AUUGAACGCUGGCGGCAGGCUUAACACAUGCAAGUCGAGCGGAGAUGAGGUGCUUGCACCUGAUCAUAGCGGAGUACCGGGGAGUAAUGCUUCGGAUGGUGCCUAUUAGUUGGGGGAAACUUGCCGAAAUGAAGGCUAGUUCCGACGACGUCCUGCGGUAGAACGCAGAGGUGCUUCGGCCCUUGCUUAAAUAGUUGAGCCUAAGUCGGAUUAGCUAGUGGGUGGGGUAAAGGCCGACCAAGGCGACGAUCUGUAACGGGUCUACGAGGAUGAUCCGCCACACUGGGACUGAGACACGGCCCAGACUCCUACGGGAGGCAGCAGUGGGGAAUAUUGGACAAUGGGGGGAACCCUGAUCCAGCCAUGCCGCGUGUGUGAAGAAGGCCUUAUGGUUGUAAAGCACUUUAAGCGAGGAGGAGGCUACUGAGACUAAUACUCUUGGAUAGUGGACGUUACUCGCAGAAUAAGCACCGGCUAACUCUGUGCCAGCAGCCGCGGUAA